Molecule: transfer RNA, 70 nt
Filed under: Dipodomys ordii (Ord's kangaroo rat)
Lineage: Eukaryota; Metazoa; Chordata; Mammalia; Rodentia; Heteromyidae
Rfam family: tRNA
About the family: Transfer RNA (tRNA) molecules are approximately 80 nucleotides in length. Their secondary structure includes four short double-helical elements and three loops (D, anti-codon, and T loops).
Source: Rfam by way of RNAcentral
GGGAGUGUGGUUCAGUGGUAGAACACUUGCCUAGCAUGCAUGAAGCCCUGGGUUCAAUUCCUCAGUACCA